UACGUAGGGUGCUAGCGUUGUUCGGAAUCAUUGGGCGUAAAGCGAGUGCAGGCUGUUAGUUAAGUCGGAUGUGAAAUCCCUGGGCUCAACCGAGGAAGUGCAUUCGAAACUAUCUAGCUAGAAGAUGGUAGAGGAAGGUGGAAUUCCAAGUGUAGAGGUGAAAUUCGUAGAUAUUUGGAGGAAUACCGGUGGCGAAGGCGGCCUUCUGGGCCAUUCUUGACGCUGAGACUCGAAAGCGUGGGUAGCAAACAGG
Molecule: ribosomal RNA, 253 nt
Filed under: uncultured bacterium
Lineage: Bacteria
Description: partial 16S ribosomal RNA
Rfam family: Bacterial small subunit ribosomal RNA
Source: RNAcentral